Molecule: ribosomal RNA, 1289 nt
Filed under: 'Lactuca serriola' phytoplasma
Lineage: Bacteria; Bacillati; Mycoplasmatota; Mollicutes; Acholeplasmatales; Acholeplasmataceae
Description: Lactuca serriola phytoplasma bacterial SSU rRNA
Rfam family: Bacterial small subunit ribosomal RNA
Source: RNAcentral
CAAUUGGAAACAGUUGCUAAGACUGGAUAGGAAAUUAAGAGGCAUCUUUUAAUUUUUAAAAGACCUUUUUCGAAAGGUAUGCUUAAAGAGGGGCUUGCGCCACAUUAGUUAGUUGGUAAGGUAAAGGCUUACCAAGACGAUGAUGUGUAGCUGGACUGAGAGGUUGAACAGCCACAUUGGGACUGAGACACGGCCCAAACUCCUACGGGAGGCAGCAGUAAGGAAUUUUUGGCAAUGGAGGAAACUCUGACCGAGCGACGCCGCGUGAACAAUGAAGUACUUCGGUAUGUAAAGUUCUUUUAUUGAAAAAGAAAAAAUAGUGGAAAAACUAUCUUGACAUUAUUCAAUGAAUAAGCCCCGGCUAAUUAUGUGCCAGCAGCCGCGGUAAUACAUAAGGGGCGAGCGUUAUCCGGAAUUAUUGGGCGUAAAGGGUGCGUAGGCGGUUUGAUAAGUCUAUAGUUUAAAUGCAGCGCUUAACGCUGUAGCGCUAUAGAAACUGUCUGACUAGAGUUAGAUAGAGGCAAGCGGAAUUCCAUGUGUAGCGGUAAAAUGCGUAAAUAUAUGGAGGAACACCAGAGGCGUAGGCGGCUUGCUGGGUCUUAACUGACGCUGAGGCACGAAAGCGUGGGGAGCAAACAGGAUUAGAUACCCUGGUAGUCCACGCCGUAAACGAUGAGUACUAAGUGUCGGGUUUCGGCUCGGUACUGAAGUUAACACAUUAAGUACUCCGCCUGAGUAGUACGUACGCAAGUAUGAAACUUAAAGGAAUUGACGGGACCCCGCACAAGCGGUGGAUCAUGUUGUUUAAUUCGAAGAUACACGAAAAACCUUACCAGGUCUUGACAUAAUUUUGCGACAUUAUAGAAAUAUAAUGAAGGUUAUCAGAAUUACAGGUGGUGCAUGGUUGUCGUCAGCUCGUGUCGUGAGAUGUUAGGUUAAGUCCUAAAACGAGCGCAACCCUUGUCGUUAGUUGCGACCACGUAAUGGUGAGCACUUUAGCGAGACUGCCAAUGAAAAAUUGGAGGAAGGUGAGGAUUACGUCAAAUCAUCAUGCCCCUUAUGAUCUGGGCUACAAACGUGAUACAAUGGCUGUUACAAAGAGUAGCUACAACGUGAGUUUUUAGCCAAUCUCAAAAAAACAGUCUCAGUUCGGAUUGAAGUCUGCAACUCGACUUCAUGAAGUUGGAAUCGCUAGUAAUCGCGAAUCAGCAUGUCGCGGUGAAUACGUUCUCGGGGUUUGUACACACCGCCCGUCAAACCACGAAAGUUGAUAAUACCCGAAAGCGGUC